This 497-nucleotide ribosomal RNA is filed under the name uncultured bacterium. Its description in RNAcentral is "partial 16S ribosomal RNA". It matches the Rfam family "Bacterial small subunit ribosomal RNA", at positions 28 to 507 of the family's 1533-position model. The record is from RNAcentral.
GAUGAACGCUGGCGGCGUGCCUAAUACAUGCAAGUCGAGCGAACGGACGAGAAGCUUGCUUCUCUGAUGUUAGCGGCGGACGGGUGAGUAACACGUGGAUAACCUACCUAUAAGACUGGGAUAACUUCGGGAAACCGGAGCUAAUACCGGAUAAUAUUUUGAACCGCAUGGUUCAAAAGUGAAAGACGGUCUUGCUGUCACUUAUAGAUGGAUCCGCGCUGCAUUAGCUAGUUGGUAAGGUAACGGCUUACCAAGGCAACGAUGCAUAGCCGACCUGAGAGGGGGAUCGGCCACACUGGAACUGAGACACGGUCCAGACUCCUAAGGGAGGCAGCAGUAGGGAAUCGUCCGCAAUGGGCGAAAGCCUGACGGAGCAACGCCGCGUGAGUGAUGAAGGUCUUCGGAUCGUAAAACUCUGUUAUUAGGGAAGAACAUAUGUGUAAGUAACUGUGCACAUCUUGACGGUACCUAAUCAGAAAGCCACGGCUAACUACGUG